This 758-nucleotide ribosomal RNA is filed under the name Salmonella enterica subsp. enterica serovar Kottbus. Its description in RNAcentral is "partial 23S ribosomal RNA". It matches the Rfam family "Bacterial large subunit ribosomal RNA", at positions 2164 to 2916 of the family's 2925-position model. The record is from RNAcentral. Lineage: Bacteria; Pseudomonadati; Pseudomonadota; Gammaproteobacteria; Enterobacterales; Enterobacteriaceae.
GUGGACGCCAGUCUGCGUGGAGCCGACCUUGAAAUACCACCCUUUAAUGUUUGAUGUUCUAACGUGGACCCGUAAUCCGGGUUGCGGACAGUGUCUGGUGGGUAGUUUGACUGGGGCGGUCUCCUCCUAAAGAGUAACGGAGGAGCACGAAGGUUGGCUAAUCCUGGUCGGACAUCAGGAGGUUAGUGCAAUGGCAUAAGCCAGCUUGACUGCGAGCGUGACGGCGCGAGCAGGUGCGAAAGCAGGUCAUAGUGAUCCGGUGGUUCUGAAUGGAAGGGCCAUCGCUCAACGGAUAAAAGGUACUCCGGGGAUAACAGGCUGAUACCGCCCAAGAGUUCAUAUCGACGGCGGUGUUUGGCACCUCGAUGUCGGCUCAUCACAUCCUGGGGCUGAAGUAGGUCCCAAGGGUAUGGCUGUUCGCCAUUUAAAGUGGUACGCGAGCUGGGUUUAGAACGUCGUGAGACAGUUCGGUCCCUAUCUGCCGUGGGCGCUGGAGAACUGAGGGGGGCUGCUCCUAGUACGAGAGGACCGGAGUGGACGCAUCACUGGUGUUCGGGUUGUCAUGCCAAUGGCACUGCCCGGUAGCUAAAUGCGGAAGAGAUAAGUGCUGAAAGCAUCUAAGCACGAAACUUGCCCCGAGAUGAGUUCUCCCUGAGACUUUAGGUCUCCUGAAGGAACGUUGAAGACGACGACGUUGAUAGGCCGGGUGUGUAAGCGCAGCGAUGCGUUGAGCUAACCGGUACUAAUGAACCGUGAGG